UUUCCGUAGGUGAACCUGCGGAAGGAUCAUUAUUGUAUAACCGAGGUGCGAGGGCUGUCGCGGACCCGAAAGGUCGUGGACGCCCGAGUGCCCUCACACACAUCCAUCUCACCCCUAUGUGCACCACCGCGUGGGUCCCCCUUUGGCUUGUUCGGAGGGGGGCUUACGUUUUCACACAAACUUUGUAUGCAGUGUAGAAUGUAUUUUUUGUUUUUGCGAUCACGCAAUCAAUACAACUUUCAACAACGGAUCUCUUGGCUCUC
This 263-nucleotide unclassified non-coding RNA is filed under the name plant metagenome. RNAcentral's name for it is "partial contains small subunit ribosomal RNA, internal transcribed spacer 1, and 5.8S ribosomal RNA". The record is from RNAcentral.